AAAUUGAAGAGUUUGAUCAUGGCUCAGAUUGAACGCUGGCGGCAGGCCUAACACAUGCAAGUCGAACGGUAACAGGAAGCAGCUUGCUGCUUCGCUGACGAGUGGCGGACGGGUGAGUAAUGUCUGGGAAACUGCCUGAUGGAGGGGGAUAACUACUGGAAACGGUGGCUAAUACCGCAUAACGUCGCAAGACCAAAGAGGGGGACCUUCGGGCCUCUUGCCAUCAGAUGUGCCCAGAUGGGAUUAGCUUGUUGGUGAGGUAACGGCUCACCAAGGCGACGAUCCCUAGCUGGUCUGAGAGGAUGACCAGCCACACUGGAACUGAGACACGGUCCAGACUCCUACGGGAGGCAGCAGUGGGGAAUAUUGCACAAUGGGCGCAAGCCUGAUGCAGCCAUGCCGCGUGUAUGAAGAAGGCCUUCGGGUUGUAAAGUACUUUCAGCGGGGAGGAAGGUGUUGCGGUUAAUAACCACAGCAAUUGACGUUACCCGCAGAAGAAGCACCGGCUAACUCCGUGCCAGCAGCCGCGGUAAUACGGAGGGUGCAAGCGUUAAUCGGAAUUACUGGGCGUAAAGCGCACGCAGGCGGUCUGUCAAGUCGGAUGUGAAAUCCCCGGGCUCAACCUGGGAACUGCAUUCGAAACUGGCAGGCUUGAGUCUUGUAGAGGGGGGUAGAAUUCCAGGUGUAGCGGUGAAAUGCGUAGAGAUCUGGAGGAAUACCGGUGGCGAAGGCGGCCCCCUGGACAAAGACUGACGCUCAGGUGCGAAAGCGUGGGGAGCAAACAGGAUUAGAUACCCUGGUAGUCCACGCCGUAAACGAUGUCUACUUGGAGGUUGUGCCCUUGAGGCGUGGCUUCCGGAGCUAACGCGUUAAGUAGACCGCCUGGGGAGUACGGCCGCAAGGUUAAAACUCAAAUGAAUUGACGGGGGCCCGCACAAGCGGUGGAGCAUGUGGUUUAAUUCGAUGCAACGCGAAGAACCUUACCUGGUCUUGACAUCCAC
This 1001-nucleotide ribosomal RNA is filed under the name Salmonella enterica subsp. enterica serovar Oranienburg. RNAcentral's name for it is "bacterial SSU rRNA". It matches the Rfam family "Bacterial small subunit ribosomal RNA", at positions 1 to 991 of the family's 1533-position model. The record is from RNAcentral. Lineage: Bacteria; Pseudomonadati; Pseudomonadota; Gammaproteobacteria; Enterobacterales; Enterobacteriaceae.